RNAcentral lists this ribosomal RNA (833 nucleotides) under Limosilactobacillus reuteri. Its description in RNAcentral is "bacterial SSU rRNA". It matches the Rfam family "Bacterial small subunit ribosomal RNA", at positions 62 to 864 of the family's 1533-position model. The record is from RNAcentral. Lineage: Bacteria; Bacillati; Bacillota; Bacilli; Lactobacillales; Lactobacillaceae.
CCCAACUGAUUGAUGGUGCUUGCACCUGAUUGACGAUGGAUCACCAGUGAGUGGCGGACGGGUGAGUAACACGUAGGUAACCUGCCCCGGAGCGGGGAAUAACAUUUGGAAACAGAUGCUAAUACCGCAUAACAACAAAAGCCGCAUGGCUUUUGUUUAAAAGAUGGCUUUGGCUAUCACUCUGGGAUGGACCUGCGGUGCAUUAUGCUAGUUGGUAAGGUAACGGCUUACCCAAGGCGAUGAUGCAUAGCCGAGUUGAGAGACUGAUCGGCCACAAUGGGAACUGAGACACGGUCCAUACUCCUACGGGAGGCAGCAGUAGGGAAUCUUCCACAAUGGGCGCAAGCUGAUGGAGCAACACCGCGUGAGUGAAAAAGGGUUUCGGCCGCAAAGCUCUGUUGUUGGAGAAGAACGUGCGUGAGAGUAACUGUUACGCAGUGACGGUAUCCAACCAGAAAGUCACGGCUAACUACGUGCCAGCAGCCGCGGUAAUACGUAGGUGGCAAGCGUUAUCCGGAUUUAUUGGGCGUAAAGCGAGCGCAGGCGGUUGCUUAGGUCUGAUGUGAAAGCCUUCGGCUUAACCGAAGAAGUGCAUCGGAAACCGGGCGACUUGAGUGCAGAAGAGGACAGUGGAACUCCAUGUGUAGCGGUGGAAUGCGUAGAUAUAUGGAAGAACACCAGUGGCGAAAGCGGCUGUCUGGUCUGCAACUGACGCUGAGCUCGAAAGCAUGGGUAGCGAACAGGAUUAGAUACCCUGGUAGUCCAUGCCGUAAACGAUGAGUGCUAGGUGUUGGAGGGUUUCCGCCCUUCAGUGCCUGUUCUAACGCAUUAAU